RNAcentral lists this ribosomal RNA (106 nucleotides) under Conioselinum acuminatum. RNAcentral's name for it is "Ligusticum acuminatum partial 5.8S ribosomal RNA". It matches the Rfam family "5.8S ribosomal RNA", at positions 51 to 154 of the family's 154-position model. From Rfam's summary of the family: 5.8S ribosomal RNA (5.8S rRNA) is a component of the large subunit of the eukaryotic ribosome. It is transcribed by RNA polymerase I as part of the 45S precursor that also contains 18S and 28S rRNA. Functionally, it is thought that 5.8S rRNA may be involved in ribosome translocation. Lineage: Eukaryota; Viridiplantae; Streptophyta; Magnoliopsida; Apiales; Apiaceae. The record is from RNAcentral.
UUAUGCGAUACUUGGUGUGAAUUGCAGAAUCCCGUGAACCAUCGAGUCUUUGAACGCAAGUUGCGCCCGAAGCCAUUAGGCUGAGGGCACGUCUGCCUGGGUGUCA